GACGAACGCUGGCGGCGUGCUUAACACAUGCAAGUCGAACGGAAAGGCCCUGCUUUUGUGGGGUGCUCGAGUGGCGAACGGGUGAGUAACACGUGAGUAACCUGCCCUUGACUUUGGGAUAACUUCAGGAAACUGGGGCUAAUACCGGAUAGGAGCUCCUGCUGCAUGGUGGGGGUUGGAAAGUUUCGGCGGUUGGGGAUGGACUCGCGGCUUAUCAGCUUGUUGGUGGGGUAGUGGCUUACCAAGGCUUUGACGGGUAGCCGGCCUGAGAGGGUGACCGGCAACAGUGGGACUGAGAUACGGCCCAGACUCCUACGGGAAGCAGCAGUGGGGAAUAUAGCACGAUGGGCGGAAGCCUGAUGCAGCAACGCCGCGUGCGGGAUGACGGCCUUCGGGUUGUAAACCGCUUUCGCCUGUGACGAAGCGUGAGUGACGGUAAUGGGUAAAGAAGCACCGGCUAACUACGUG
This 468-nucleotide ribosomal RNA is filed under the name uncultured bacterium. Its description in RNAcentral is "partial 16S ribosomal RNA". It matches the Rfam family "Bacterial small subunit ribosomal RNA", at positions 28 to 507 of the family's 1533-position model. The record is from RNAcentral.